UAUGUGAUCGUCUCUCGCAUAUCAAUAAGCGGAGGAAAAGAAACUAACAAGGAUUCCCCUAGUAACGGCGAGUGAAGCGGGAAGAGCUCAAAUUUGAAAUCUUAAAGGGUUUCCCUUUACGAAUUGUAGUUUAAAGAAGUGUUUUCUGUUGAGGUUUUGGUAAAAGUUCUUUGGAAUAGGACAUCAUAGAGGGUGAGAAUCCCGUAUUUGACCUUUACUUUCAACUUUGUGAUACACUUUCAAAGAGUCGGAUUGUUUGGGAAUGCAGUCCAAAAUGGGUGGUAAAUUUCAUCUAAAGCUAAAUAUUGGCGAGAGACCGAUAGCGAACAAGUACCGUGAGGGAAAGAUGAAAAGAACUUUGAAAAGAGAGUUAAACAGUACGUGAAAUUGUCAAAAGGGAAGCGUUUGACACCAGUGUUGUUUUUCUGAAAAUCAAUUAAAGAACUGUUUAUGCUAAGUUGUUUAGACUUUAUCAGCUAAUCUGCUUAGUUUUGAGCUUUUCUUUAAUGCACUUUUCAGUUAACAAGUCAACAUCAAUUUCUUUUGCUGUAAAAAAGCUUGAGGAAGGUGGCUUGAGAUUCGUCUUAAGUGUUUAUAGCCUCUUGCCUAUGCAGUCGGAGAGAUUGAGGUCUGCAGCGUAGAUCCUUCGGGGCUAAAUGCAUUUGUGCUAAGUUAUAGCAUUUUAUAGACAACUUGUUGACUAUGAUUUGUCUUGUAGCUUACUCGCUUAUGUUAUUUUACCUACGCUUAGGAUGUUGAGUCGUAGAGCACGCAG
RNAcentral lists this ribosomal RNA (775 nucleotides) under uncultured Neocallimastigales. RNAcentral describes it as "partial large subunit ribosomal RNA". It matches the Rfam family "Eukaryotic large subunit ribosomal RNA", at positions 24 to 628 of the family's 3401-position model. The record is from RNAcentral. Lineage: Eukaryota; Fungi; Neocallimastigomycota; Neocallimastigomycetes; Neocallimastigales.